This 72-nucleotide transfer RNA is filed under the name Camelus bactrianus (Bactrian camel). It matches the Rfam family "tRNA". Rfam says of the family: Transfer RNA (tRNA) molecules are approximately 80 nucleotides in length. Their secondary structure includes four short double-helical elements and three loops (D, anti-codon, and T loops). RNAcentral also lists the same sequence under 2 other names. The record is from Rfam by way of RNAcentral. Lineage: Eukaryota; Metazoa; Chordata; Mammalia; Artiodactyla; Camelidae.
GAGGGUACAGCUCAGUGGUAGAGUGUGUGCUUAGCAUGCAUUAGGUCCUGAGUUCGAUCCCCAGUACCUCCG